Long non-coding RNA from Oreochromis niloticus (Nile tilapia), 618 nucleotides. The record is from Ensembl. Lineage: Eukaryota; Metazoa; Chordata; Actinopteri; Cichliformes; Cichlidae.
AUGGUGAUACAUUCACAUACAUUAGUUCAGAGCUCAACUCUACAGCAAGUAACCACUUCCUUUUUUGUGGCUCCUCCUCAGAUACCAAUAAAGCUGACAGUAAAGUUCAGGUCUGUUUCUCUCUGUCUGAUGAUCAUGAUGCUCACGAUAAACCAAGCAGCACUGCUCUUCGUUCAGCUGUUAGUGGUGUGGCAUGUCUUUGCAGAGAUCGCUAAAGACGACCACAGAGCUGUGCUGGUGUCCAGAGGAGACUCAGUGACACUGACUUGCAACAUAUCCAAGACAAAUGCAACAUCGAUCAUCUGGACCAGCAACAGAUCUGUUUUUCAAUAUUCCAUUGAGCUGAAUCGCACCCAUUCAAAUUUCUCAUUUCAUAGACUGAAAAUAAAUCAUGAGUUUCCUACAAAGCUAAUUAUUUUUAGUGCUCAGCCUGAAGAUGAAGGACUUUAUACAUGUAGCAUAACAGACAGACAUGGCAUAAACAGCAUUACAUGGAGUUUAACUGUGUCUGAGAACCCAGAAGAAUCCACUUCAUCAAAGUAUCUUCUACACAUUCUCCCACCUGCAGUUGGAUUGUUAUUAUGUGGCAUCACAUUAGCUGUCUUCCUCUGCAGGUAA